This is a small nucleolar RNA of Phyllostomus hastatus (greater spear-nosed bat), 209 nucleotides long. RefSeq annotates it as small nucleolar RNA U3. The transcript has a single exon. NCBI's taxonomy places the organism in Eukaryota, Metazoa, Chordata, Mammalia, Chiroptera, Phyllostomidae. The record is from RefSeq and is a predicted model, not a curated record.
AAAACUAUACUUUCAGGGAUCAUUUCUAUAGUUCGUUACUAGAGAAGUUUCUCUAAAUAUGUAGAGCACCCAAAACCACGACAAGGAGGUGCAGUGUUCUCUCCUGAGCAUGAAGCCAAUUGGCAGAUUUCACAACUGCCAAUAGCCAUUGAUCAUCAUUCUUCUCUUCCUUUGGAAGAGUAAGAGGGAGAGAAUGCAGUCUGAUUGGU